GCGGUCGUGGUGGAAUUGGCAGUCACGCCAGGUUUAGGUCCUGGUGGGAGAAAUCCCGUGAGGGUUCGAGUCCCUCCGACCGCA
This 84-nucleotide transfer RNA is filed under the name Streptomyces indicus. RNAcentral's name for it is "Streptomyces sp. IH32-1 tRNA". It matches the Rfam family "tRNA". From Rfam's summary of the family: Transfer RNA (tRNA) molecules are approximately 80 nucleotides in length. Their secondary structure includes four short double-helical elements and three loops (D, anti-codon, and T loops). Further hydrogen bonds mediate the characteristic L-shaped molecular structure. tRNAs have two regions of fundamental functional importance: the anti-codon, which is responsible for specific mRNA codon recognition, and the 3' end, to which the tRNAs corresponding amino acid is attached (by aminoacyl-tRNA synthetases). tRNAs cope with the degeneracy of the genetic code in two manners: having more than one tRNA (with a specific anti-codon) for a particular amino acid; and 'wobble' base-pairing, i.e. permitting non-standard base-pairing at the 3rd anti-codon position. The record is from Rfam by way of RNAcentral. Lineage: Bacteria; Bacillati; Actinomycetota; Actinomycetes; Kitasatosporales; Streptomycetaceae.